RNAcentral lists this long non-coding RNA (222 nucleotides) under Sinocyclocheilus grahami. RNAcentral's name for it is "lncRNA (ENSSGRG00000044785.1)". Lineage: Eukaryota; Metazoa; Chordata; Actinopteri; Cypriniformes; Cyprinidae. The record is from RNAcentral.
CUUCAUCUACUCUCCAGAAACUGGCAUCAGUGUUAUAGAUGAUUUGGACGAACUGCAGAAAUAUCCCAAUGCUUUCAGUAUUCCAGAGGAAGCAGCUAAGAAAGCGCUCAACCAAAGUGCAGGAAGCGCUUUUAUGGGUGUUUUCCUCUUUCCCAACAUGUCAAAGGAUGCAGAGAAUAGUACGGUUUUGAAUGAUGAGGUUUAUGCAAUCGAAAUGGGGAC